Molecule: ribosomal RNA, 728 nt
Filed under: uncultured bacterium
Lineage: Bacteria
Description: bacterial SSU rRNA
Rfam family: Bacterial small subunit ribosomal RNA
Source: RNAcentral
UUAGGAGGAGGAUAACAGCUGGAAACGGUUGCUAAUACUCCAUAUGCCGAGAGGUGAAAGAAUUUAUUUGCCUAAGGAGGAGCUCGCGUCUGAUUAGCUAGUUGGUAGGGUAAUGGCCUACCAAGGCGACGAUCAGUAGCUGGUUUGAGAGGAUGAUCAGCCACACUGGGACUGAGACACGGCCCAGACUCCUACGGGAGGCAGCAGUAGGGAAUUUUCCGCAAUGGGCGAAAGCCUGACGGAGCAAUACCGCGUGAGGGAUGACGGCCUGUGGGUUGUAAACCUCUUUUCUCAAGGAAGAAGUUCUGACGGUACUUGAGGAAUAAGCAUCGGCUAACUCUGUGCCAGCAGCCGCGGUAAUACAGAGGAUGCAAGCGUUAUCCGGAAUCACUGGGCAUAAAGCGUCUGUAGGUGGUUUGGUAAGUCUGCUGUUAAAGACUGGGGCUCAACCCCAGAAAAGCAGUGGAAACUGCCAGACUUGAGUGUGGUAGAGGUAGAGGGAAUUCCUAGUGUAGCGGUGAAAUGCGUAGAUAUUAGGAAGAACACCAAUGGCGAAGGCACUCUACUGGACCAUAACUGACACUGAGAGACGACAGCUAGGGGAGCAAAUGGGAUUAGAUACCCCAGUAGUCCUAGCCGUAAACGAUGGAUACUAGAUGUUGCACGUAUUAACCCGUGCAGUAUCGUAGCUAAGGCGUUAAGUAUCCCGCCUGGGAAGUACGCUCGCA